GAUGAAGAACGUAGCGAAAUGCGAUACUUGGUGUGAAUUGCAGAAUCCCGUGAACCAUCGAGUCUUUGAACGCAAGUUGCGCCCGAAGCCAUUAGGCCGAGGGCACGCCUGCCUGGGCGUCACACGUUGUUGCCCCCCCAUCUACUCCUUCGGGAUUGCGGGGGGCGGAUGAUGGCCUCCCGUGCGCCUCGCCGCGCGGUUGGCAUAAAUGCCAAGUCCUCGGCGACGCACGCCACGACAAUCGGUGGUUGCGAAACCUCGGUUGCCCGUCGUGUGCGGUCGUCGCGCAUCGAGGGCUCGAAAAAAUUGCCGGGUUCCGGCUCGGCUUUCAACGCGACCCCAGGUCAGGCGGGGUUACCCGAUGAAUUUAAGCAUAUCAAAAGCGGAGGA
This 390-nucleotide unclassified non-coding RNA is filed under the name soil metagenome. RNAcentral's name for it is "partial contains 5.8S ribosomal RNA, internal transcribed spacer 2, and large subunit ribosomal RNA". The stretch from base 1 to 122 matches the Rfam family "5.8S ribosomal RNA", at positions 35 to 154 of the family's 154-position model. The record is from RNAcentral.